This 387-nucleotide ribosomal RNA is filed under the name Escherichia coli. Its description in RNAcentral is "partial 23S ribosomal RNA". It matches the Rfam family "Bacterial large subunit ribosomal RNA", at positions 241 to 667 of the family's 2925-position model. Lineage: Bacteria; Pseudomonadati; Pseudomonadota; Gammaproteobacteria; Enterobacterales; Enterobacteriaceae. The record is from RNAcentral.
CAGUAGCGGCGAGCGAACGGGGAGGAGCCCAGAGCCUGAAUCAGUGUGUGUGUUAGUGGAAGCGUCUGGAAAGGCGCGCGAUACAGGGUGACAGCCCCGUACACAAAAAUGCACAUGCUGUGAGCUCGAUGAGUAGGGCGGGACACGUGGUAUCCUGUCUGAAUAUGGGGGGACCAUCCUCCAAGGCUAAAUACUCCUGACUGACCGAUAGUGAACCAGUACCGUGAGGGAAAGGCGAAAAGAACCCCGGCGAGGGGAGUGAAAAAGAACCUGAAACCGUGUACGUACAAGCAGUGGGAGCACAGAGCAAUCUGUGUGACUGCGUACCUUUUGUAUAAUGGGUCAGCGACUUAUAUUCUGUAGCAAGGUUAACCGAAUAGGGGAGCC